UCCCUGGUGGUCCAGAGGCUAAGACCCCACACUUCCAAUGCAGGGGGCCCGGGUUCAAUCCCUGGUCAGGGAA
This is a transfer RNA of Ovis aries (sheep), 73 nucleotides long. It matches the Rfam family "tRNA". Rfam says of the family: Transfer RNA (tRNA) molecules are approximately 80 nucleotides in length. Their secondary structure includes four short double-helical elements and three loops (D, anti-codon, and T loops). NCBI's taxonomy places the organism in Eukaryota, Metazoa, Chordata, Mammalia, Artiodactyla, Bovidae. The record is from Rfam.